ACUUGACAAUCAUAUUGACCGAAGACAGCAGGUGCCGGAAGGCGUAACCAUGUGACCUGCCGAGGAAAUUUACAGGUACUUUGUACCGGUAAUGUAUGAAAGAUAAUUUCAGCCUCUCUGUCUCGGACAGGGAGGUUUUUGUUAUUCAACA
This is a non-coding RNA of Eubacterium sp. 14-2, 151 nucleotides long. NCBI's taxonomy places the organism in Bacteria, Bacillati, Bacillota, Clostridia, Eubacteriales, Eubacteriaceae. The record is from Rfam.